AGCAGCCGCGGUAAUUCCAGCUCCAAUAGCGUAUAUUAAAGUUGUUGCAGUUAAAAAGCUCGUAGUUGAAUUUCGGGAUCAAUAUGUUGGUCGUGCCUUGGUACGUACUGGCAUUAUCGAUUCCUACCUUCUGAAGAACCUCGAUGUCAUUAAUUUGGUGUCUUGGGGAAUCAGGACUGUUACUUUGAAAAAUUAGAGUGUUUAAAGCAGGCUCGCGCUUGAAUACAUUAACAUGGAAUAAUGAAAUAGGACGUUUGAUUCUAUUUUGUUGGUUUCUAGGAUCGACGUAAUGAUUAAUAGGGAUAGUUGGGGGCAUUAGUAUUCAAUUGUCAGAGGUGAAAUUCUUGGAUUUAUUGAAGACUAACUACUGCGAAAGCAUUUGCCAAGGAUGUUUUCAUUAAUCAAGAACGAAAGUUAGGGGAUCGAAGACGAUCAGAUACCGUCGUAGUCUUAACCGUAAACUAUGCCGACUAGGGAUCGGAUGAUAGUUUAAUUUUUUAAUGUACUCUAUUCGGCGUCC
This 520-nucleotide ribosomal RNA is filed under the name uncultured Glomus. RNAcentral's name for it is "SSU rRNA". It matches the Rfam family "Eukaryotic small subunit ribosomal RNA", at positions 569 to 1088 of the family's 1831-position model. Lineage: Eukaryota; Fungi; Glomeromycota; Glomeromycetes; Glomerales; Glomeraceae. The record is from RNAcentral.